UGCUCUUUUGAUAUCCCAUAUCUGGAAAGC
This 30-nucleotide non-coding RNA is filed under the name Rattus norvegicus (Norway rat). Lineage: Eukaryota; Metazoa; Chordata; Mammalia; Rodentia; Muridae. The record is from RNAcentral.